Molecule: ribosomal RNA, 1558 nt
Filed under: Tolypocladium cylindrosporum
Lineage: Eukaryota; Fungi; Ascomycota; Sordariomycetes; Hypocreales; Ophiocordycipitaceae
Description: SSU rRNA
Rfam family: Bacterial small subunit ribosomal RNA
Source: RNAcentral
UAAUAGCUGAGUUUGGUGAUGGCUCUGAUUGAAUGCUGUCCAAGUGCUUGACACAUGCUAAUCGUACGUUUUAAUUUAUAUACUAUUGCUAUAACGCAACGUAAGUUACGUUAAAGUUAAGGUUACAAAUUAAAAAGUGGUGUACAGGUGAGUAUAAUGAUAUUCUUUGCCGACCUUAAAGUGAAGGUAAAUCCUUCAUAAUGAAUAAAGGGAAAUAAAUUCCCGCUUUAAGAGGAUAAUAAAUAUCUUCGAGAUAGGUAGUAGUUAAGGUGAUGGCUUAACUAGCCUGAAACUCUCGUAGUCGAAUCUGAAAGGUUGAUCGACCACAUUGGGUCUGAAAAAACCCCAAUGCAAGUUAGUACAGCAGUGAGGAAUAUUGGUCAAUGGCCUAACGGCUGAACUGGCAACUUGGAGAAGUGGCAAGUCCUACUUUGAUUAUAUCAUAGAAUAUAAUCUAUAGGAUUGUAUUAAAAUUGAAUAAAGCUUUGUUUAUAUAUUGAUAAUGACAGUAUAUAUAUCGUGUCUUGACUAAUUACGUGCCAGCAGUCGCGGUAAUACGUAAGAGACUAGUGUUAUUCAUCUUAAUUAGGUUUAAAGGGUACCUAGACGGUCAAUAUAGCUUCUAGAAUGUUAGUACUUGACUAGAGUUUUAUGUAAGAGGGUAGUACUUGAGGAGGAGAGAUGAAAUUCUAUGAUACCUAAGGGACUCGGUAAAGGCGAAGGCAACCCUCUAUGUAAAAACUGACGUCGAAGGACGAAGGCACAGAGAACAAACAGGAUUAGAUACCCAAGUAGUCUUUGCAGUAAAUGAUGAAUGCCAUAGGUCAGAUUAAGAUUUAAUAACUUAGUUCUUCAGUAAGGAACUAAAUAUUAAACAUUAUUUGGUCUAUAAAUGAAAGUGUAAGCAUUUCACCUCAAGAGUAAUGUGGCAACGCAGGAACUGAAAUCACUAGACCGUUUCUGACACCAGUAGUGAAGUAUGUUGUUUAAUUCGAUGAUCCACGAAAAACCUUACCACAAUUUGUAUAAUUAUUACAGGAGUUGCACGGCUGUUUUCAGUUAAUGUUGUGAAACUGUGGUUUCCAUGAAAUUAACGCAAUCCCUGGCUUUAUUUUUUAAAUAUUUACGAUAAAGCAUUUGAUCCUGGAAUUUGGAAAGAAAAAGGGGACAAAGACAAGUCAUCAUGGCCUUGAUAUUGUGGGCUAUAGACGUGCCACAUAUUCCUAAACAAAGAGAUGCAAAAAUGUGAAUUUAAGCUAAUCUCAAAAAAUAGGAUAUAAGUUUUAAGGAUUGUAGUCUGAAACUCGACUAUAUGAAUAAGUAAUUACUAGUAAUCGUGAAUCACCAUGUCACGGUGAAUUAACCUUGGAUUGGUACUAACCACUCGUCACAUGCUGAAAAGAGCAUGCGCAAUAAGUUUGCUUUCUUAAUGAUUAGUAAAAAAAACAUGUAGGUUUUAUACAUUCUAUUAUUAGGGAUCUUCGUAUGCGUGGCUCUAAUUAGUGUUAAGUCGAAAUACGGUUCGCGUAGUGGAAGUUGCGCGGGGAAAAUUAACCUG